UGUGGCCUCAAAUCAGGUAGGACUACCCGCUGAACUUAA
RNAcentral lists this ribosomal RNA (39 nucleotides) under Limacella glischra. Its description in RNAcentral is "partial 28S ribosomal RNA". Lineage: Eukaryota; Fungi; Basidiomycota; Agaricomycetes; Agaricales; Amanitaceae. The record is from RNAcentral.